RNAcentral lists this ribosomal RNA (493 nucleotides) under uncultured soil bacterium. Its description in RNAcentral is "bacterial SSU rRNA". It matches the Rfam family "Bacterial small subunit ribosomal RNA", at positions 26 to 518 of the family's 1533-position model. The record is from RNAcentral.
AGAUUGAACGCUGGCGGCAGGCCUAACACAUGCAAGUCGAGCGGUAGAGAGGUGCUUGCACCUCUUGAGAGCGGCGGACGGGUGAGUAAUGCCUAGGAAUCUGCCUAGUGGUGGGGGAUAACGUUCGGAAACGGACGCUAAUACCACAUACGUCCUACGGGAGAAAGCGGGGGACCUUCGGGCCUCGCGCCAUUAGAUGAGCCUAGGUCGGAUUAGCUAGUUGGUGAGGUAAUGGCUCACCAAGGCGACGAUCCGUAACUGGUCUGAGAGGAUGAUCAGUCACACUGGAACUGAGACACGGUCCAGACUCCUACGGGAGGCAGCAGUGGGAAUAUUGGACAAUGGGCGAAAGCCUGAUCCAGCCAUGCCGCGUGUGUGAAGAAGGUCUUCGGAUUGUAAAGCACUUUAAGUUGGAGAAGGUUGUAACUUAAUACGUUGCAACUUUGACGUUACCGACAGAAUAAGCACCGGCUAACUUCGUGCCAGCAGCCGA